GAUGAACGCUGGCGGCGUGCCUAAUACAUGCAAGUCGAGCGAACGGACGAUAAGCUUGCUUUUCUGAUGUUAGCGGCGGACGGGUGAGUAACACGUGGAUAACCUACUUAUAAGACUGGGAUAACUUCGGGAAACCGGAGCUAAUACCGGAUAAUAUUUUGAACCGCAUGGUUCAAAAGUGAAAGACGGUCUUGCUGUCACUUAUAGAUGGAUCCGCGCUGCAUUAGCUAGUUGGUAAGGUAACGGCUUACCAAGGCAACGAUGCAUAGCCGACCUGAGAGGGUGAUCGGCCACACUGGAACUGAGACACGGUCCAGACUCCUACGGGAGGCAGCAGUAGGGAAUAUUCCGCAAUGGGCGAAAGCCUGACGGAGCAACGCCGCGUGAGUGAUGAAGGUCUUCGGAUCGUAAAACUCUGUUAUUAGGGAAGAACAUAUGUGUAAGUAACUGUGCACAUCUUGACGGUACCUAAUCAGAAAGCCACGGCUAACUACGUG
RNAcentral lists this ribosomal RNA (497 nucleotides) under uncultured bacterium. RNAcentral's name for it is "partial 16S ribosomal RNA". It matches the Rfam family "Bacterial small subunit ribosomal RNA", at positions 28 to 507 of the family's 1533-position model. The record is from RNAcentral.